AUGGCCUCGCCGCCGCCGCCGACCAUUCCCGACGAGCUCCUGGAGGAGAUCUUCAUCCGCCUGCCCACACCGGACGCGCUCGCCCGCGCCUCCGCCUCCUGCAGCUCCUUCCGCCGGGUCAUCAAAGGCCGCGCCUUCCGCCGCCGCUUCCGCACGCUGCAUCGCCCUCCCCUCCUCGGCUUCAUGGACGCGGGCGGAUUCCACCCCGCCCAGGCGCCGCACCCCUCCGCCCCGCUCGCCGGCGCCCUCGCCCCCUGCGCCGCGGAUUUCUCCUUCGUCCCGGCAGUCGUUUCUUCUGCCUCCUACGUGCGGCCCGGCGUCCAAGAAGACGGCGGGGAAGGCCCCCGCUGGCGCCCCCGCGACGUCCGCGACGGCCGCGUCCUCCUCGAUUGGAGAUCCUUCUACCCCCGUUCCGUCCACAUGUGGAGCUACCGCGAAGACUGUGCCCGCCGUCAGGUAAGCAUCCUCAUGGACUCCAGUGAGCUCGGUGACGAAGAACGCUGUGAGACGUGGACCAAACGGGAGCGGUGCAACGCUGCCGACUUCCACCUCGCCGUCUGUGACCCGCUGUCCAGCAGAUACGUGUUGCUUCCAACCAUACCCGAGGACCUCGCCGCCCAGCCGCAGGAUCGCCUCCAUGGAUUCGAGCCCGUACUUGCUCCCAACACCAGGUACGACGGCGAGGAAGAGCCCUUCAAGGUGAUAUGCAUAGCAAGAUACAUGACGAAGCUUGUCCUCUUUGUGCUCCCGUCCACAACUAUGCAAUGGUCUAUGGUCGAGCCUCCCAUUUCACCUUCGUUGGAACGCAUGUCCUGUUUUGACUGCGUGCGCUGCUGCUUCUACUGGACAAAGCCUUAUGGCUGGAGUGACCAUUUGAUGGUGCUGGACACCCGCACUUUGAGGUUUUCCACUGUCGACCUUCUCACCGGCUACAAUGUGGAGCUCAGCGAUCUGCCUGACGAGUGCUUUGCCCAUCGACACCCAAUGGCUGUUGUGAUGGGCUGGGAAGGCGCCCUUGAGAUGUUUUCCCUUGUAAGUCAAACACGGAUCCUUUGCCCUCUACCAUACCUCUCUGAAGAAUAA
This 1083-nucleotide ribosomal RNA is filed under the name Triticum aestivum (bread wheat). RNAcentral's name for it is "partial small subunit ribosomal RNA". Lineage: Eukaryota; Viridiplantae; Streptophyta; Magnoliopsida; Poales; Poaceae. The record is from RNAcentral.